AUUGAACGCUAGCGGCAUGCUUUACACAUGCAAGUCGAACGGAGUGGCGGACGGGUGAGUAAUAUAUCGGAACGUGCCUAGUAGCGGGGGAUAACUACUCGAAAGAGUAGCUAAUACCGCAUACUAUCAGAUCGGCCGAGAUGGGAUUAGCUAGUUGGUGGGGUAACGGCUCACCAAGGCAACGAUCCGUAGCUGGUCUGAGAGGACGACCAGCAACACUGGGACUGAGACACGGGCCAGACGCCUACGGGAGGAAGGAGUGGGGAAUAUUGGACAAGGGGGGAAAGCCUGAUGCAGCCAUCCCGCGUGUAUGAAGAAGGCCUUCGGGUUGUAAAGUACUUUUGGCAGAGAAGCGGUAUCUGCAGAAUAAGCACCGGCUAACUACGUGCCAGCAGCCGCGGUAAUUC
RNAcentral lists this ribosomal RNA (407 nucleotides) under uncultured bacterium. RNAcentral's name for it is "partial 16S ribosomal RNA". It matches the Rfam family "Bacterial small subunit ribosomal RNA", at positions 30 to 526 of the family's 1533-position model. The record is from RNAcentral.